UACGUAGGGACCAAGCGUUGUCCGGAUUUACUGGGCGUAAAGAGCGCGCAGGCGGUCGUUCAAGUCGCGUGUGAAAGCCCCCGGCUCAACUGGGGAGGGUCACGCGAUACUGAUCGACUCGAAGGCAGGAGAGGGUAGUGGAAUUCCCGGUGUAGUGGUGAAAUGCGUAGAUAUCGGGAGGAACACCAGUGGCGAAGGCGACUACCUGGCCUGUUCUUGACGCUGAGGCGCGAAAGCUAGGGGAGCAAACGGG
This 253-nucleotide ribosomal RNA is filed under the name uncultured bacterium. RNAcentral's name for it is "partial 16S ribosomal RNA". It matches the Rfam family "Bacterial small subunit ribosomal RNA", at positions 524 to 776 of the family's 1533-position model. The record is from RNAcentral.